CUAAAAUAUCACAAUUGAACGUUAUCACAUCGAAUUCGCCUGUACCAACGUAAUAUCCGAUACGCGCAAUUGAAAACUAAUAACGAUGGCGGUGAAUUUCUUCGCAAACUAAACGGUUAUUUUUUGAUUCCGAGCGUGACGAGGGAGCUGUUGGUUUUACAACGCUGUUUAUUUCUUGUUUUUUCUUCAUUUCUUUGUUCCAGUCUGCGGACACGUUUUUUUCCCAGCAAACUUGUUCCGAUUUUCGCGUGCAGCAACUUUUCUGAAAACCCAAGUUGUCUAGAUAGUACUUUGAUAUGCGUGGUCCCGACUUUACUGUUGGGCGUGUGCGCAAGAGAGAGAGGUAAGAGGUUAUUGCCCAUGUAAUAGACUUAAAAAUACAAAAAAAAAAAAAAAAAUAUACGAGUAAUCUAAUAUCGAAAUGCAUAUAUUUCAGC
Molecule: non-coding RNA, 437 nt
Organism: Cinara cedri
Lineage: Eukaryota; Metazoa; Arthropoda; Insecta; Hemiptera; Aphididae
Source: the annotation of a GenBank genome assembly